AUCUCUUUCUUUCCUUUGUGUUUGCUGCCACGAAUGAACUGGCCCCACCGCAGGCUUUUCUACGACGAGUGGUCAUUCAUAGUAAAAAUUAAAUCUACUUAAGUUUUAUUUUGAAAUCAGGAUUGUAGGUUCAUGACUUCCAACCGACUCAAGAAUCUGCUGUUAAUUACCCCAUACGUUCAAUGUUAAGGAACCUUCGAUUAAAAGACUGAAUGUAAAUGCUGAUAAUAAAAGAGACCAAAGUAUGAAGAUAAAAUUUUAUUAAUAUGAUUUGCUAUGCACAUGGCUUAAGCAGGGGCACACCUCCACUGUAUAUGAAUUUUAUAAAACUAAAAUACUCAAUUUAUGGACUUGGCGGUCGAUCGGAAUCAGGUUGCUUGGUUUAAUGAUAUGACGGCCGAUUAAAAUAGGUUGAGAUUGAAUUUAAUUUUAAUUUGCUCAGUUUAACAACUUGGCGGUCAAAUUAAUUUUGAUAUGCUGCUUAGUUUAACGACUUAGCAGUCAAAAAGAGUUUGAUAUGAUUUGGUCAGUUUAACGACUAGGCAGUUAAAAGAGUUUGAUAUGAUUUGGUCAGUUUAACGACUUGACGGUAAAAAAGAGUUUAAUAUGAUUUAGUCAGUUUAACGACUUGGCGGUCAGCAAGAGUUUGAUAUGACUUGCUCAGUUUAACGACUUGACGGUCAGAAAGAGUUUGAUAUAAUUUGUUUAGUUUAACGACUUGGCAAUCAGAAAGAGUUUGAUAUGAUUUGCUCAGUUUAACGACUUAGCGGUCAAAGAAAGUUUGAUUUUAUUUGCUCAGUUUAACGAAUUAGCGAUCAAAUUGAUUUUGAUAUGAUUUGCUCAGUUUAGCGACUAGACUGAUUCAUGAAAUUAAUUCAUGAUAGAGGCCUAUUUGGAAAGCCCAUUAAAUUAGUUCAGGAAAUUAAUUCAUGAUAGGGUCCUAUUUUGAAAGCAGAUUAAAUUAGUUCAUAAAAUUAAUUUACGAUAGGGGCCCAUUUGGAAAGCCUAUGAAAUUGGUUCAUAAAAUUAAUUCAUGACAUUUGGAAAGCUCAUGAAAUUGGUUUAUGAAAUUAAUUCAUGAUAGAGAUCAAUUUGGAAAGCCAAUUUUGUUUCAUAAAAUUAAUUCAUGGUAGAUGCCUAUUUGGAAAGCUCAUGAAAUUAUUUGGCUAAAUUUGGUUUCGGUUGGAGGCAUUUUGGUGAUAUAGGUUUGGUAACUUUCGGUUUUAUGCGGCUAAAUUCUUGGACUUUAGUGGUUUUAGUUAUGAAAUAGAUUGGGUUGGGUUUUAUUUGUGAACUUUAGAUUUUAUGGGUUUUGGGUUUCAUCUGUGGACUUUGGGUUUUGGAUUUUAUUUGUGAAUUUUGAAUCCACGGGUUUUAUUUGUGGACUUUAGAUUUUAGAGUUUAUUUGUAGACUUUUGGGUUUUGAAUUUUAUUUGAAGACUUUGGGCUUUGGGUUUUAUUUGUAUGUGGAUUUUGGAUCUUAUUUGUAGAUUUUAGGUUUUGGAGUUUUAUUUGUGAAUUUUGGAUUUCAAGAGUUUUAUUUGUGAACUUUGAAUUUUGAAUUUUAUUUGUAUGCGUACUGAAUUUGAAACCCAUAUGUGGACUAGGCAUUUUGUACGGGCUAGAUUCAGGAUCUAAUUUUAGACUGGAUUAAAUUUGGCUUUUUUUAUUUUUUUCUUGGUGUACUGCAUAUGAGAUCUUGCUCAUUGAGCUCAUAAGUAAAUUGUCGAUUGAGCUCCUUUCAAUUAGAUAACUCCAAACUAUUCUCCCCACCCCCUUUUUUUUUUUUGAACUCGAUUCGAAUUAAUUUGAUUUGAUCCAAAAAUCAAUACCAAAUUUAUGAAUCAUCAGUUUUUUUUUUUUUGCAUGUCUAUCACGAGAAUGGCGAUUUGAUUAAAUAUAUGCCUAUCACGAGGAUGGCGGGUCGAAUCAUGUCUAUCACAAAGAUGACGAAUAAUUCAAACAAUCAAAAUGCGCUCAUCAUUUUUAUAUAUAUUUUAUUAUUAUUAUUAUUAUUAUUUAUCCAAAUGCGUGGAUUUGAUCGUAUCGAGUUUAUCAUGAAGAUGGUCGCUCGAUCAACUCUUUGACAGCGUCGAGCCUAUCGUGAAGAUGGCCGCUCGAUAUAGGGAUUAACGAUACAUAUGUGGGUUUGAUCGUGUUGAACCUAUCACGAAGGCAGUCACUCGAUCAACCUUUUUACCUUAUCGAGUCUAUCGCGAAGGUGACCGCUCGGUAUAUGGAUUAACGAUACAUACGCAAAUUUGAUUGUAUGGAGCCUAUCACGAAGAUGGCCGCUCGAUCAACUUUUGACCGUGUUGAGCCGUUCGCGAAAAUGACCGCUCGGUAUAAAAAUUAGCGAUGCAUGCACAUGGUGAAAAUAGCGAUUUAAUAUCGAAUUUGAUCUGUUUGAGCCUAUUGCGAAGAUAGACAUGUUGAUCCAACCGAAAAGAAAAAUUCAUUCUUAUACCAUUU
Molecule: long non-coding RNA, 2472 nt
Filed under: Ananas comosus (pineapple)
Lineage: Eukaryota; Viridiplantae; Streptophyta; Magnoliopsida; Poales; Bromeliaceae
Description: long non-coding RNA (ACOM_LNC029605)
Source: RNAcentral